RNAcentral lists this ribosomal RNA (458 nucleotides) under uncultured bacterium. RNAcentral's name for it is "SSU rRNA". It matches the Rfam family "Bacterial small subunit ribosomal RNA", at positions 26 to 518 of the family's 1533-position model. The record is from RNAcentral.
AGAAUCAACGCUGGCGGCGUGCCUAACACAUGCAAGUCGCACGAGAAAGGGACUUCGGUCCUGAGUACAGUGGCGCACGGGUGAGUAACACGUGAAUCAUCUACCUCCGAGUGGGGAAUAACUGAGAGAAAUCUUAGCUAAUACCGCAUAACACUUACGAGUCAAAGCAGCAAUGCGCUUGGAGAGGAGUUCGCGGCAGAUUAGUUAGUUGGCGGGGUAAUGGCCCACCAAGACGAUGAUCUGUAUCCGGCCUGAGAGGGCGCACGGACACACUGGAACUGAAACACGGUCCAGACUCCUACGGGAGGCAGCAGUGGGGAAUUUGCGCAAUGGGGGAAACCCUGACGCAGCAACGCCGCGUGGAGGAUGAAAUCCCUUGGGAUGUAAACUCCUUUCGAUAGGGAAGAUAAUGACGGUACCUAUAGAAGAAGCCCGGCUAACUUCGUGCCAGCAGCCGC